GAAAGAGUCCUAGAAAUUAAAGUCCUUUGUUCAUAAGCCAUGUACAGUGGAGAUGACAGCAGCAGCAAUCCAUUUCCCCAUGCUCUGCCAACUAGCUUAACCCUGAGCUGGAAAGAUCAUACUCUGUAGAAGUGAAAGGAAAUUCAAUCUAUGAGCUAACUUGGUCCUGUGUUUUC
This 176-nucleotide small RNA is filed under the name Sphenodon punctatus (tuatara). RNAcentral's name for it is "TUC338 (ENSSPUG00000013517.1)". The record is from RNAcentral. Lineage: Eukaryota; Metazoa; Chordata; Lepidosauria; Sphenodontia; Sphenodontidae.